This is a long non-coding RNA of Delphinapterus leucas (beluga whale), 2979 nucleotides long. RefSeq lists it as uncharacterized. NCBI's taxonomy places the organism in Eukaryota, Metazoa, Chordata, Mammalia, Artiodactyla, Monodontidae. The record is from RefSeq and is a predicted model, not a curated record.
CCCUCAGGCCAAGACUGAGAACUUUGCUUUCCUGCUGUUUGAAUCCGAGCCCAAUCAAUCCCUGAAGCCAGUUCUUCCCUAAAGAUCUGUUUUAAGGAAGUUACUGUGAAUGCACCGUCAAACAACGACUUGCCCAGGUGCAUUCCCUGAGACAUGUGGGGACAAUGACUCAAGGCUGUGUGGUGGCCCAGAAGCUGAACCCUUCUAUUUGCCUCCUCCCAGCUUACUUACCUACUAGCCAGUCUCAGCAUGUCUUUUUCUGAUAAUGCCACUUGCUUUGCCCAACCCCCAUCCUUGGACCAAGGGCCACACGUUUGGCCGUACCUGUUCUGACAGAGCCUCCCUGAACUGCAGUGGGAUGUUGGACUCAGACGCUUAUUCUAAUAAGGAGAGCAAAUCUAUGCACAGUGGUCUUCUGGGUGACAAAUAGAGGCUUUGUGCGUGAGAGGCCUAGGCCUGGGGCUUUGGCUAGCGAGGACCCUCCUGAUCUCUGUCUUUUUUCCUCCAGGCCAGAUGGGAGAUCUCACGAGCUGGUCUAAGGAAAAGGAAGAUGGAAGCAAAACACAAGAAAACCUAGCAGACGCCAGAGAGGAAAAUUGCAGGGUUUGAGGGUGAAGCAGACUUCAGUGUUGGGCUGCUCCUACCCCUGAGGCCAGGUGUUGGGGCAGGCUUCCCUACCGGGGUGUCCAGAACCUUCCCUGCAUCCCGGGCCUGGCACAGAUGCCAGCACUGUGGAGUCAGGGAUGCUGAAGGGAUGAAUGACAGUGGCCACACACCUGCAGUAAGAAGAACCUGUUGGAAGCAGGAUUUUUGCAGCUGUCUCAGAGCAUGCUCACAUCUUUGCUGUCAACCAUCUUUUGGGAGGGUUUCAUUGUUGUUUGUUUCUGUAUUUGCUGCUUUCUCCAGACCAGCAUCCCUUCACCCUUUCUGUGAAACCAGGUAGUUCAGAUGGGACUGAUUCCAACCCGGAGGGCUCCUGCCUAGCUAGUCAGAGCACUGCAUCCUCCUGGCAGUGCAUCCUCCUCCAGUGAUUAGAGAAGGCAGACAUGUGACCCACACUGGACCAAUGAGAAUCACCCCCAGGACCUUGGCUAGGGAUUGAGGAGGGGCUUACUGGUAGGAAUAUCAGCUUGGAGAUACCAGCAGAUGCCACAUGGAGGAUGAGGUCGGCAAAGAACAAAGCUGAGCUGAGCAAGGGAGAUAGAUUCUUGAGGACAGCAUGCAAACACCCAGAUCCAGCCGUGCCUGAGGCUAGGUACGUCCCUGGGCUGUCCAGACGCCUGUAUCCAAGAAUUUCUUUUUUCUCCUGGCAGUUUGAAUUGUGUUUCACUUGCCACUGAAUAUCUUUCUGUCAUAUGAUCCUCUGGUGGAGCCAAGACCGCAGCCACCAUUUCUGAAUGAGAAAGAAGUGUGAGCCUUUGGGGUGCUGGGUCACACUGGACCCAGUCUACAAGUGUCUCUCAUAGUCUCUGGCAGGGGCUCCUACCUCCUCUGUCUCUCUUCUGGCCUCCUGCUCUGGCCUUCCUGACUAGUGGGUCUAUGGCCACCCAGCCCACAGAUUACCUUGACUGUGUGUUCUCUGGGCUUGUGCCCUCUGGGUCUGUCUUGUCUAUAACUCUAUCCUCAGGGCCUAGCAUAGAUGCUCUCAGCAAACAUUGGUGGAAAGAAUUAAUGGGUCAUCGAAGCUCCUGUGGCCUGCUGGGGUGUGGAGGUGGGGGUUUCAGUAAAUCAGGAGCCCCAGAGCUUCCUGUCUCCCACCAUGCCGCCUGCCUUCGGCAUGCAUGGCAGCCUCUUGCCCCCACUGUUACUGACUACCUUACCUGAGGCCUUAUGUCAAACCCUCCACCAUUUCCCCACACUGUCUCGUGGAUGGCAAUAUGGCCAGUCUUGGGUAGUUGGGUGAGGGAUGAAUUUUCACUCUAACUCCCUGCCUUGGACCUCCCUGCCCCACCCCAAAGGCUCGGACACCCCAGAAACACUUCCAAGAGCACACCCCGAGGGGCCAUGACUGCUCCCCACCAGCGCGCCAGAAGGGACGAGUGAGAGUGUCCAGGAGGGGAGGGCUUGCUGCCGCACACAGGCUGCAUGCCUCCUGAAACGUGCAGCAGCACAUCUUCCCAGAGAAAAAGGGAGGCCCAGAAUUACAAGCUUUGUUAUUUUUACUUUUUGGUGUGAGGGGCCAUCUGUGCAGGUUUGAGCUUGUCUGGAGGAAACCACGAUUUGUAGAUGAAAUUCAAAAGUAGGAUUUCUUUGCAGGCUGUCAGGCGGAGACUUUCUCCAGGAGCUGGGGCGGCAGUGCUGAUAUUUGUAUAGCAUCAGAGUGUGCCAGAGUCCAGCAGCUGCUCGGGCUGAGUGAGCACAUGGGGCCCUCCAGCAGAGCAUCAGCAAGCCCUCAGCAAUGGUCUUCUCAGCGUGGGCUCCACUGAGGGUGCCAGGAGGGGCCUGGGUCACCAGCUGUGAGAAUUGGCCCCCACUGCCUGGGAGGAGGGGUCCUGGAGGGUAGAAAGUCAGGUGCGGGGAGGAGGUUGGCAGUGCUGGAGCGUGGGAGCGGGAGCAGCUCUGGCCCCUCCAUUGUCACUAUCAGUUCCUCUCAAACUACCUCACCAAACAUGCAGUUGCAGACCCGUCCUCAGGAUAUGCCAAUGCCCCCACCUUCAGCUGCAGGUCACCCUCAAGCCCCCAGCGUGGAAAUUCCACAACUGCCUUGUCCAAGGAGACAUUGUUUAUCGCCUGCACGCUUUCCUUGGGCCUCUUUCCUGGGUCAGAUGCGCAGCAGCCCAUUACGGGGCAGCACAGGAAGGAGAAGGAGAGAAGGACACUGAGGUUUAUUACCCUGAAGACUGGAAACGCUUCGAGGCCAUUGCUCACAACUCCUCCCGGUUUCCGAGGUGAAAGGAUGACAACAGAGAAACAAAAGGAUGAAAUCAUUAGUGUCAAUCGGGCACAUUCAGCGUAGAAUACUGACGUACCACUGUUGUG